CUGCUCAGAUUUGCUGUUUCAGGUGAUGAAACUGUUAAGAACCGGGAGUAGAACCAGAUCUGGACCACCACUUCAGGGCCUGACCCUGUUUCACUGACGACACCGACACACAGCUCAUCUUCAUCACGCUUGGCAGCAGGACAUAUGGGAGUGAUGCCAGGUUACUGGCUGCUUGCAGCAUUUUCUAGAAACCCUCCAGAACAGAUGAGCUGCAGGUCCAGUUUGAGCUGAGAAACAUGAAGCUGAUGAAUGAAAUCCUACAUAAAACCCACCAUGAGCAUCACACUGAGACAAAGGAAGGGAUGGAGAUACGGUUGUGACACACCCACUGAGAACGCAGCAGCAGCAGGUUCUCCACAUCAAACAGCUUUUCUCACCUCAGGAGGAGCAGCCCGAGAAG
Molecule: long non-coding RNA, 400 nt
Organism: Girardinichthys multiradiatus
Lineage: Eukaryota; Metazoa; Chordata; Actinopteri; Cyprinodontiformes; Goodeidae
Exons: 3
Source: RefSeq, a predicted model, not a curated record